AACGCACAUUGCGCUCCCUGGUAUUCCGGGGAGCAUGCCUGUUCGAGCGUCAUUAUCAACCAUCAAGCACUGCUUGGCAUUGGGCGUCGUCCCCCGUGGACGCGCCUUAAACCCUUUGGCGGCGGUUACAAACCUCAAGCGUAGUAGAAAUCCUUAGCUUUCUAGGUUGUGGCCGUCCUGCCUCGAGAACAUCUCACCUCAAGGUUGACCUCGGAUCAGGUAGGGAUACCCGCUGAACUUAA
RNAcentral lists this unclassified non-coding RNA (242 nucleotides) under Junghuhnia sp. RNAcentral describes it as "partial contains 5.8S ribosomal RNA, internal transcribed spacer 2, and large subunit ribosomal RNA". The stretch from base 1 to 52 matches the Rfam family "5.8S ribosomal RNA", at positions 103 to 154 of the family's 154-position model. Lineage: Eukaryota; Fungi; Basidiomycota; Agaricomycetes; Polyporales; Steccherinaceae. The record is from RNAcentral. RNAcentral also lists the same sequence under 1 other name.